RNAcentral lists this ribosomal RNA (392 nucleotides) under uncultured bacterium. Its description in RNAcentral is "partial 16S ribosomal RNA". It matches the Rfam family "Bacterial small subunit ribosomal RNA", at positions 523 to 918 of the family's 1533-position model. The record is from RNAcentral.
AUACGGAGGAUCCGAGCGUUAUCCGGAUUUAUUGGGUUUAAAGGGUGCGCAGGCGGCCAUUUAAGUCAGCGGUUAAAUCGUGGGGCUCAACCCCAUUCUGCCGUUGAUACUGGGUGGCUUGAUUGCGGUCGAGGUUGGCGGAAUUCGUUGUGUAGCGGUGAAAUGCAUAGAUAUGACGAAGAACACCGAUUGCGUAGGCAGCUGACCAGACCGCAAAUGACGCUCAUGCACGAAAGUGCGGGGAUCGAACAGGAUUAGAUACCCUGGUAGACCGCACAGUAAACGAUGAAUACUUGUUUUCGGCGAUAUAAUGUCGGAGGCAAAGCGAAAGCGAUAAGUAUUCCACCUGGGGAGUACGCCGGCAACGGUGAAACUCAAAUGAAUUGACGGGG